GGUUGUGUAGUGUAGUGGUUAUCACUCGAGAUUUUGAAACGCCUUGCUCUUCUUCUCGUAACCCCGGUUCGAACCCGGGCACGACCU
This is a non-coding RNA of Mycena albidolilacea, 87 nucleotides long. Lineage: Eukaryota; Fungi; Basidiomycota; Agaricomycetes; Agaricales; Mycenaceae. The record is from the annotation of a GenBank genome assembly.